Molecule: long non-coding RNA, 1962 nt
Organism: Aquila chrysaetos chrysaetos
Lineage: Eukaryota; Metazoa; Chordata; Aves; Accipitriformes; Accipitridae
Exons: 8
Source: RefSeq, a predicted model, not a curated record
GGGGUUAAACCACGACACUGUGAUACAGACUAAAGACUUUGAUGCUUGUGCUGGAAGUUGGCUUGGUUUAAAGGAAGCCACUCUUACAAGAGCAUUCUGCUGUUUCUGUUGCCAUGUGCCUCCUAUUUCGGCUGCUUGCUGUGAUGAAGCACCGCUUGGAGAAGAAUCAGUCAAUUGACCUCAUGUGCCUGGUGAAGCAGCAUCCAAAGGAGAAGCAGUAUCCUCAGUUUAGACGGCACCGCUGAGCGUACUUGCUGCUUGCACAUCUGCCAAACCACCAGCCCUUUGGUCAAGGGCCUAAUUGAAUUUCAGACGGCAUGGUGUCACAAAGAAACCGCAGGCAAUUAAAAUCAUCCCGAGGUCUCCCUGGCUUCCUGCUUCUAAUCUACAUUCUCAAGAAUGAAUCAAAACCGUGAGAGGAAAUUGUGUUUGGCCCUAUACUUUUUAGAGGCCUGGGGCGGAAGAGCAGGGAAGAAAAGAAAUGAGAUAUAUUUAUAAACCAAAAACUCAGAGUACGUUCAUCUGACAAUUCAAGAUCUUACUUGAGCAGACACACUGAUGUAAAGAAUAGUGCCCAUACCAUAAACCUAUGAGGUGUCACAGCUGGCAUACAGGAGUGUCUGCACAAGGCAGAGGAGUGACUUUGACGCAGGCAGCCGGCCUGGGUAGCAGAAAUGAAAAUGUAGCAUGAGAGGCGUCAGCAUGGGCUAACAACCAAGAAAAAAUUUCUACUCAGUGUCCUUCUGGUAAUGAACACUGGGAAAGUGUCUCGAGCAACACACACCUGCGGCAGGAGAAGUAGCUGAUGUUUCCUCCUGUUACUUCACUUUGACAUGUCUUUGGUUCACCUAGAUAAUGUGAUUUUUUUUCCACAUACUUCUCCUUCAAGAAUUCACUGCUUGUCACACCUAAUGAUUUAUUCACUCGUCAACCUUUUUUUAGGUUCACAAAUAUCCUGCAAAGAUAAGGCACUGGCCUUUGAAAAUAUGGUGCCAGUAAUUAAAAUGAAGAAUGCGUUACAGUAUAAAGUAGAAAUAUGAGUCUAAAAGCCACACUGGUAUUUUUAGUGAUGGGAGUAAUUGAGGAUUUCAGUUUAAUAAUUCAGUGCAGCUAAGAUUAAUAAAUGAUAUGAGGUAGACAUGGUCUUUCAAGAAGAAGGAUUUCAGGGGUACAGUUAACAAUUUAAUUUAGUAUAUCCUUAAGGAUGCUGCUGGAAUUGCUGUAUAAUAACUCAGCAGAGUCCUACAGUUUCCGAGCCUGUUUUGUAAAAGGAGGAAUAUGCAUCCUGAGUGAGGAUUACACAAAGUGAAGGGGACCCAUCUGAGAAGAAGCCAAAAAGCCUGGAAAUCCCAGCCCUGGCGCUCGUUCCUGCCAUAGUCUACAGCGAGUCCCUUCCCAUCGCUAUCGGUUUCUGCACAGGCGGCAGCGGAGGGGAGGCAGAGCAGGCUGCGGGGAGGACCAGAGUCCUGCCCGACCAUGAGCUCCCACAUUGAAGAGCCUGUUUAUGGCACAGGGUGGGCUGGAAGGAAAUCCUCUCCUUGUUUCUCAAGGCUGAGUGGAGCCUUCUCAGUUUAAAAUAAGCCUUCAGCCUGAUCCUGGCAAGAAGUAGGCCAUACCAGUAGCUGAUGAAGAAAACCAGAGGAACAUGCUUUCCCAGCCUAUACUCAUUACAGCUCUUUCUGCAUUGCUUGGCUCCUUCAUCUUUUCCCUUGCCUGUCAACACCUCCCAGACAGAGGACUCUCCGCUGGCUUCUUUCUCUCCACUGCUAAGUAACCACGAGUAACCAUGGCCAUGGCUCGCGCUCUGCCCAGUGCACUGUUCCCUGAGCCGCGUGUGGUCUCUUUGGUAUGUAGCCCUUAUAGUCCCCUGCGUUUGCUCAAAAGCAGCAGGUGAGCACAGAGCACAACAGCACACACUGGGCUGCUCUGGCUGCAUCUCAGUUUCUUGCCUGUUUGUCGGUG